RNAcentral lists this ribosomal RNA (423 nucleotides) under uncultured bacterium. RNAcentral's name for it is "bacterial SSU rRNA". It matches the Rfam family "Bacterial small subunit ribosomal RNA", at positions 40 to 507 of the family's 1533-position model. The record is from RNAcentral.
CGGCAUGCCUAACACAUGCAAGUCGAACGAAGCCUUGGGCUUAGUGGCGCACGGGUGCGUAACGCGUGGGAAUCUGCCCUUGGGUUCGGAAUAACAGUUAGAAAUGACUGCUAAUACCGGAUGAUGUCUUCGGACCAAAGAUUUAUCGCCCAAGGAUGAGCCCGCGUAGGAUUAGGUAGUUGGUGGGGUAAAGGCCUACCAAGGCGACGAUCAGUAUCUGGUUUGAGAGGAUGAUCAGACACACUGGAACUGAGACACGGUCCAGACUCCUACGGGAGGCAGCAGUGGGGAAUUUUCCGCAAUGGGCGAAAGCCUGACGGAGCAAUCUCGCGUGGGGGAUGACGGCCUAUGGGUUGUAAACCUCUUUUUCAGGGAGGAACAAAAUGACGUGUACCUGAAGAAUAAGCAUCGGCUAACUCCGUG